GCAGUCGUGGCCGAGUGGUUAAGGUGAUGGACUAGAAAUCCAUUGGGGUCUCCCCGCACAGGUUCGAAUCCUGUCGACUGCG
Molecule: non-coding RNA, 82 nt
Organism: Ixodes scapularis (black-legged tick)
Lineage: Eukaryota; Metazoa; Arthropoda; Arachnida; Ixodida; Ixodidae
Source: Rfam